RNAcentral lists this ribosomal RNA (299 nucleotides) under uncultured bacterium. RNAcentral describes it as "partial 16S ribosomal RNA". It matches the Rfam family "Bacterial small subunit ribosomal RNA", at positions 475 to 776 of the family's 1533-position model. The record is from RNAcentral.
CUAUGCGCCUUGCCAGCCCGCUCAGGUGUGCCAGCAGCCGCGGUAAUACGUAGGGGGCAAGCGUUAUCCGGAUUUACUGGGUGUAAAGGGAGCGUAGACGGCAGUGCAAGUCUGGAGUGAAAGGCCGGGGCUCAACCCCGGGACUGCAUUGGAAACUGUAAAGCUAGAGUGCCGGAGAGGUAAGCGGAAUUCCUAGUGUAGCGGUGAAAUGCGUAGAUAUUAGGAGGAACACCAGUGGCGAAGGCGGCUUACUGGACGGCAACUGACGCUGAGGCUCGAAAGCGUGGGGAGCAAACAGG